AUUGAAACCCCGGUUCCCGUACGAUCACCGAUGUUAAGCAAAGCCGAGCCUGGUCAGUACAUAGAUGAGUAGCCUCUUAGGAAUACCAGAUGUUGUAAG
Acanthosepion pharaonis is the source of this 99-nucleotide non-coding RNA. The record is from the annotation of a GenBank genome assembly. NCBI's taxonomy places the organism in Eukaryota, Metazoa, Mollusca, Cephalopoda, Sepiida, Sepiidae.